Molecule: ribosomal RNA, 301 nt
Filed under: uncultured bacterium
Lineage: Bacteria
Description: partial 16S ribosomal RNA
Rfam family: Bacterial small subunit ribosomal RNA
Source: RNAcentral
CAGUCGCCGCGGUAAUACAGAGGGUGCGAGCGUUAAUCGGAUUUACUGUGCGUAAAGCGUGCGUAGGCGGCUUUUUAAGUCGGAUGUGAAAUCCCUGAGCUUAACUUAGGAAUUGCAUUCGAUACUGGGAAGCUAGAGUAUGGGAGAGGAUGGUAGAAUUCCAGGUGUAGCGGUGAAAUGCGUAGAGAUCUGGAGGAAUACCGAUGGCGAAGGCAGCCAUCUGGCCUAAUACUGACGCUGAGGUACGAAAGCAUGGGGAGCAAACAGGAUUAGAUACCCCUGUAGUCCCUGUCUCUUAUAC